RNAcentral lists this long non-coding RNA (645 nucleotides) under Hordeum vulgare. RNAcentral's name for it is "long non-coding RNA (HVUL_LNC004301)". The record is from RNAcentral. Lineage: Eukaryota; Viridiplantae; Streptophyta; Magnoliopsida; Poales; Poaceae.
AGUUUGCCAUCUCUAAUAGUUUUCCGGGUAGUCACCAUCGUCCUCCCCUGUUUCGACCGCCGGCAUGGUAGAAUAGUGCCAAGGGGCUGCUCAAAAGAGCAUGCUACCCCUCUCUGUUAAGUGUCUCCCCUGUAGCGCAGUGGCAACAGAGCCUCGGCACGCGCAGCGCUCGCGGGUUCGAUCCCCCGCAGGCCCCUUUUUCUUAUUUGUGUUUUUAGCUAGUAGCAGAGCAGCGCAGAGAAGUUAGCCUGCAUCCUUCCCCUUCUCUGUCGAGUGCCAAAAUAGUAGCAGAGUGGUGUUGUGCAUGUGGUGGCAAUAGGAGGUUGUGGGUUCGAAUCACAACCAACCCCCCCUUUCAUUUUUUUGCUGCAUUUCUUUUUUCACUGUNNNNNNNNNNNNNNNNNNNNNNNNAUAUCUAUAUGUGUGUGUCACCAUAUAGUGUUUCCAUGCCAUGCCUAGUUAGAUAUGUUGUUCUUGUCCAAGGAAGUGCAUGUGUAGAUGAUGCAAUAUGUGCUAGUUUUACAUGUGAUGAUAGUCAUUUGUAGUAAUAGGAUUCUAUGUGUCAUUUUAGAGCUAGCUUUGUGCCUUGAUGUUACAUGCAAGUACCCAUGCAUUAUAUAUGAUUUUGGGGUAGAAUCAUCCCAG